GAACCUGAAACCGUGUGCUUACAAGUAGUCAGAGCCCGUUAAUGGGUGAUGGCGUGCCUUUUGUAGAAUGAACCGGCGAGUUACGAUUUGAUGCAAGGUUAAGCAGUAAAUGUGGAGCCGUAGCGAAAGCGAGUCUGAAUAGGGCGUUUAGUAUUUGGUCGUAGACCCGAAACCAGGUGAUCUACCCUUGGUCAGGUUGAAGUUCAGGUAACACUGAAUGGAGGACCGAACCGACUUACGUUGAAAAGUGAGCGGAUGAACUGAGGGUAGCGGAGAAAUUCCAAUCGAACCUGGAGAUAGCUGGUUCUCUCCGAAAUAGCUUUAGGGCUAGCCUCAAGUGAUGAUUAUUGGAGGUAGAGCACUGUUUGGACGAGGGGCCCCUCUCGGGUUACCGAAUUCAGACAAACUCCGAAUGCCAAUUAAUUUAACUUGGGAGUCAGAACAUGGGUGAUAAGGUCCGUGUUCGAAAGGGAAACAGCCCAGACCACCAGCUAAGGUCCCAAAAUAUAUGUUAAGUGGAAAAGGAUGUGGCGUUGCCCAGACAACUAGGAUGUUGGCUUAGAAGCAGCCAUCAUUUAAAGAGUGCGUAAUAGCUCACUAGUCGAGUGACACUGCGCCGAAAAUGUACCGGGGCUAAACAUAUUACCGAAGCUGUGGAUUGUCCUUUGGACAAUGGUAGGAGAGCGUUCUAAGGGCGUUGAAGCAUGAUCGUAAGGACAUGUGGAGCGCUUAGAAGUGAGAAUGCCGGUGUGAGUAGCGAAAGACGGGUGAGAAUCCCGUCCACCGAUUGACUAAGGUUUCCAGAGGAAGGCUCGUCCGCUCUGGGUUAGUCGGGUCCUAAGCUGAGGCCGACAGGCGUAGGCGAUGGAUAACAGGUUGAUAUUCCUGUACCACCUAUAAUCGUUUUAAUCGAUGGGGGGACGCAGUAGGAUAGGCGAAGCGUGCGAUUGGAUUGCACGUCUAAGCAGUAAGGCUGAGUAUUAGGCAAAUCCGGUACUCAUUAAGGCUGAGCUGUGAUGGGGAGAAGACAUUGUGUCUUCGAGUCGUUGAUUUCACACUGCCGAGAAAAGCCUCUAGAUAGAAAAUAGGUGCCCGUACCGCAAACCGACACAGGUAGUCAAGAUGAGAAUUCUAAGGUGAGCGAGCGAACUCUCGUUAAGGAACUCGGCAAAAUGACCCCGUAACUUCGGGAGAAGGGGUGCUCUUUAGGGUUAACGCCCAGAAGAGCCGCAGUGAAUAGGCCCAAGCGACUGUUUAUCAAAAACACAGGUCUCUGCUAAACCGUAAGGUGAUGUAUAGGGGCUGACGCCUGCCCGGUGCUGGAAGGUUAAGAGGAGUGGUUAGCUUCUGCGAAGCUACGAAUCGAAGCCCCAGUAAACGGCGGCCGUAACUAUAACGGUCCUAAGGUAGCGAAAUUCCUUGUCGGGUAAGUUCCGACCCGCACGAAAGGCGUAACGAUUUGGGCACUGUCUCAACGAGAGACUCGGUGAAAUCAUAGUACCUGUGAAGAUGCAGGUUACCCGCGACAGGACGGAAAGACCCCGUGGAGCUUUACUGUAGCCUGAUAUUGAAAUUCGGCACAGCUUGUACAGGAUAGGUAGGAGCCUUUGAAACGUGAGCGCUAGCUUACGUGGAGGCGCUGGUGGGAUACUACCCUAGCUGUGUUGGCUUUCUAACCCGCACCACUUAUCGUGGUGGGAGACAGUGUCAGGCGGGCAGUUUGACUGGGGCGGUCGCCUCCUAAAAGGUAACGGAGGCGCUCAAAGGUUCCCUCAGAAUGGUUGGAAAUCAUUCAUAGAGUGUAAAGGCAUAAGGGAGCUUGACUGCGAGACCUACAAGUCGAGCAGGGUCGAAAGACGGACUUAGUGAUCCGGUGGUUCCGCAUGGAAGGGCCAUCGCUCAACGGAUAAAAGCUACCCCGGGGAUAACAGGCUUAUCUCCCCCAAGAGUUCACAUCGACGGGGAGGUUUGGCACCUCGAUGUCGGCUCAUCGCAUCCUGGGGCUGUAGUCGGUCCCAAGGGUUGGGCUGUUCGCCCAUUAAAGCGGUACGCGAGCUGGGUUCAGAACGUCGUGAGACAGUUCGGUCCCUAUCCGUCGUGGGCGUAGGAAAUUUGAGAGGAGCUGUCCUUAGUACGAGAGGACCGGGAUGGACAUACCUCUGGUGUACCAGUUGUCGUGCCAACGGCAUAGCUGGGUAGCUAUGUGUGGACGGGAUAAGUGCUGAAAGCAUCUAAGCAUGAAGCCCCCCUCAAGAUGAGAUUUCCCAACUUCGGUUAUAAGAUCCCUCAAAGAUGAUGAGGUUAAUAGGUUCGAGGUGGAAGCAUGGUGACAUGUGGAGCUGACGAAUACUAA
This 2353-nucleotide ribosomal RNA is filed under the name Staphylococcus aureus. RNAcentral's name for it is "partial 23S ribosomal RNA". It matches the Rfam family "Bacterial large subunit ribosomal RNA", at positions 546 to 2904 of the family's 2925-position model. The record is from RNAcentral. Lineage: Bacteria; Bacillati; Bacillota; Bacilli; Caryophanales; Staphylococcaceae.